Molecule: ribosomal RNA, 253 nt
Filed under: uncultured bacterium
Lineage: Bacteria
Description: partial 16S ribosomal RNA
Rfam family: Bacterial small subunit ribosomal RNA
Source: RNAcentral
UACAGAGGUCCCAAGCGUUGUUCGGAUUCACUGGGCGUAAAGGGUGCGUAGGCGGCCGGGUAAGUCUGAUGUGAAAUCUCACAGCUUAACUGUGAAACUGCAUUGGAUACUAUCCGGCUCGAGGAAUGGAGGGGAGACUGGAAUACUUGGUGUAGCAGUGAAAUGCGUAGAUAUCAAGUGGAACACCAGUGGCGAAGGCGGAUCUCUGGGCCAUUACUGACGCUGAGGAGCGAAAGCGUGGGGAGCGAACAGG